This 741-nucleotide ribosomal RNA is filed under the name Architrypethelium lauropaluanum. RNAcentral's name for it is "mitochondrial SSU rRNA". It matches the Rfam family "Bacterial small subunit ribosomal RNA", at positions 395 to 1175 of the family's 1533-position model. The record is from RNAcentral. Lineage: Eukaryota; Fungi; Ascomycota; Dothideomycetes; Trypetheliales; Trypetheliaceae.
UGCUUCUUAUUAUAAUAAAAAGAUAAGUUAAGAAUUCAUUAAACUUGAAUAUAAUUCUAGAUAAGCUUUUGAUAAUGACAAAUUUUUAUCUAUUUGUCUUGACCAAAUCUUGUGCCAGCAGUCGCGGCAAUACAAGGAAGACUAGUGUUAUUCAUCUUUUAUAGGUUUAAAGGGUACCUAGACGGUAAAUUAGGCCAUAGUUGGAACCUUUUUACUAGAGUUAUAUAUGCAGGGGGAUUGUGUCCGUAUUAGCAGAGUAGAGAUGCAAUUUUAUGAUACUGUUAAGACUGGUAAAGGCGAAAGCAAACCUUUAUAUAUUAACUGACGUUGAGGGACGAAGGCUUGGGGCGCGAACAGGAUUAGAUACCCUAAUAGUCCAGGCAGAGAAUUAUGAAUGUCAUAGAUUAUAAAAUAGUUUAUAAAUGAAAGUGUAAGCAUUCCACCUCAAGAGUAAUGUGGCAACGCAGGAACUGAAAUCAUUAGACCGUUUCUGAUACCAGUAGUGAAGUAUGUUGUUUAAUUUGAUGGUCCACAAAGAACCUUACCACAAUUUGAAUAUAUUUAAUAUAUAUACCUUUAUAUAUUUAUAUGUAUUAUUUAUACAAGCGUUGCAUUGUUGUCUUCAGUUAAUGUUGUGAAACUCUGGUUAGAUUCAUAUAAUUAACGUAAUCCUAUGUUCUAUUUAAAUAUUAAUAGAUUAGUUCACUGCAAUAUUGGAUAUUGAUAACUGGGAAUAAGACA